UGUCGCUAAGGGCAAGUGAUUUAAGCAUGUACAUAUGUGUUAUUUAUGUUUCAUAUAAUUUUUUGGAAUGCACUUCGGAUACUCUAGUGCACGUUUCCAGUGUUUUGAACGACGCUUUUUUAUUUUCCUUUUUCUAAGUGAACAGUUAUUACUCUAUUCGGAAGAAUCGAAGAAAGACGGUUCUAUGUUAUGAAAUUAGCCUUUGUUUUCAUGAUUCCCGGCUCUGUUGGAACACACUGAACACGGAAACGAGCGAGGAAUAUUAUCCAUAAAUUGGACGGAAGAAUUUUUAGUUGAAAAUGAAAUAUCGUCGGCGUGUGCUUCUUCAGCAUGUCACAAAGGAUAAACUUCCAACAUAUUUCCUUGUACGAUCAGAACGUUGUCCACCGGAAGCAUCGAAACAAAUAAUCUCAAGAUGCACUGCACCAUUUAGUUUGUUGCAACCUGAAUUCGGUAUUUAUAAUGUCUACCUCGAAUAAGGGAACCAAGCAUCAUUAGAGUAGCAAAUAGCUUUCAAAAAAUUGCCACAGGACCGUCAGGUGUACAGAUACGUUUUUAAAUUCCGUCGUUUACGAAGCUUUGAAGAUAAAAUUUCAAACAUUAUAUUUGUAUAUUCCACAAUUCGCAAGAUAGGAGAUGAACAUCAACAACGUCCAUAUGAGGCUAUCGCAGGCAACGUGCAGCAGACCAUUGAAGGCGUGAAUUAAAAUUUGUUGACUGUAGAUGAAGCUAUAGGUGGCCGUCGAAGUAUGGUUCCAAGGUAACCACAUUCGAAACGCUAGCUUGUGAUGUUCGCCUUUGUACAAUGCACCGAGCAAUGUUAACACCGACAUUACCACCACUGACGAUUCAACUAGAAGUGCGUAAUAAAACGCGUUCGAUCUGUGGCGAUUCGUAAGGCGAUAG
RNAcentral lists this unclassified non-coding RNA (906 nucleotides) under Bombus terrestris (buff-tailed bumblebee). RNAcentral describes it as "misc RNA ENSBTSG00005033341.1". The record is from RNAcentral. Lineage: Eukaryota; Metazoa; Arthropoda; Insecta; Hymenoptera; Apidae.